This is a long non-coding RNA of Dendronephthya gigantea, 566 nucleotides long. RefSeq lists it as uncharacterized. NCBI's taxonomy places the organism in Eukaryota, Metazoa, Cnidaria, Anthozoa, Malacalcyonacea, Nephtheidae. The transcript is spliced from 4 exons. The record is from RefSeq and is a predicted model, not a curated record.
GUCUACAAUAUCUAUAUGAUUAAUUAUUAUUCUUUUCUAUUUUAAGUUUUCACCAAGAGUGAACAAAGGCUUCAAUGUGGAAAAUUAAGGGGAAACUGUAAUUCUAAUGAUUCACAAGGGAAUAAGGGAUAUUUACUGUCAACAAUGAAGUGUAUACAAUUAAUGUAUCCAACCAUGGAAGAAAAACAAAAUAUUUCACCUAUGAUAAUUUAGAAAUAUCCCUUCCUUGCUGACUCAAUUGUGGUGGAACAGGUUCAUGGAUCAUAACAAGGCCAAGGGUAGAAACAAUUUAAGAAAAAUAUCCUGCACUCCAGCUUAUUACAGAGGUAAAAGCUGAAUUUUAAGGAGUAAACUACAAGUUGAUCCAUGAUAUGGUUGGCAAAUUUCAAUCCAUUGAUUCAGAAAAAUGUUUUGGACUAUGCCAAGAAAUGUAACAAGAAAACUACAUUGGUUCUUAUAAACAGAGUAAAGAGAGCAAUUGCUGGGAAAUCAGACAUCAAGAGCACAGUUGCUUAGAUUUUGAAGGAGCUAUUGAAGGAGAAUGCAGGAGAAUCUCAGUCUCUCUU